GGGGCCUACGGGAGGCAGCAGUGGGGAAUCUUGCACAAUGGGCGAAAGCCUGAUGCAGCGAUGCCGCGUGAGUGAAGAAGGCCUUUGGGUUGUAAAGCUCUUUUGUCGGGAAAGAUAAUGACUGUACCCGAAGAAUAAGGUCCGGCUAACUUCGUGCCAGCAGCCGCGGUAAUACGAAGGGACCUAGCGUAGUUCGGAAUUACUGGGCGUAAAGAGUAUGUAGGCGGCUAGAUAAGUUAAUUGUGAAAGCCCAAAGCUUAACUUUGGAAUUGCAAUUAAAACUAUUUAGCUGGAGUAUGAUAGAGGAAAGCGGAAUACAUAGUGUAGAGGUGAAAUUCGUAGAUAUUAUGUAGAACACCAGUUGCGAAGGCGGCUUUCUGGAUCAUUACUGACGCUGAGAUACGAAAGUAUGGGUAGCGAAGAGGAUUAGAUACCCUCGUAGUCCAUACCAUAAACGAUGAUUAUUAGAUGUGGGGAAUUAUUUCUCUGUACCAUAGCUAACGCGUUAAAUAAUCCGCCUGGGGAGUGCGACCGCAAGGUUAAAACUCAAAGGAAUUGACGGGG
This 564-nucleotide ribosomal RNA is filed under the name uncultured Alphaproteobacteria bacterium. RNAcentral describes it as "bacterial SSU rRNA". It matches the Rfam family "Bacterial small subunit ribosomal RNA", at positions 334 to 918 of the family's 1533-position model. The record is from RNAcentral. Lineage: Bacteria; Pseudomonadati; Pseudomonadota; Alphaproteobacteria.